Long non-coding RNA from Camelus dromedarius (Arabian camel), 1693 nucleotides. RefSeq lists it as uncharacterized. The transcript is spliced from 2 exons. The record is from RefSeq and is a predicted model, not a curated record. NCBI's taxonomy places the organism in Eukaryota, Metazoa, Chordata, Mammalia, Artiodactyla, Camelidae.
GGACCUCGUGCCCCUGUGGGCUCCCACCUGGGGCCCUCAGCUCCCGCACCUGGAGGACCCUCCCCCGUAUCCCUGUGCUAACCUCCCCACUCUCGAGUCCUUGCUUAGCUGCCCCUUCGUGGUGAGGCCUCCCCGGCCUUACGGGGUGUGUCCCCACAUCCCGUCCCGUGGGUCCAUCUCACUGUCUUCAUCUGUCUCUCUUGCUAGACUGUCAGCGCCUUGAGGGGAGGGUCUAUUCUGUUUUGUUCACAGCUGUGCCCAGCACAUAGAGGGCGAUACACACAUAAGCGCGAACUCAGCCAGUGAGCUACAAAGGAAUAAGCCAUGGAAAGCGAAGAAGGACUUGGAUUCCAACCCCUCGUCCGCCAGUGCCGUGGCGGCUCUGUGAUUCGGGGCUUCGCCCCUAAAAGGGGGGAGUCCUGCCUCUCAGGACCAUGGUGGCGCGCCUGCCAUCACACUGGGGCUCUGCUUGUUCACGGAAACGAACACACCUUCCAGCCGGAUUGACCGCGUACAGUACCGUGGACGUCACUGCUUGCCGUCGUCCCAGGAAUGUGCCGCCCUCAGUCCUACCGCAUGUGUAAUGCAUUUACCUGAAAAAGAAAGCAGUUUUCAGGGGCUCCAGGCCAUGCUGGCUGCUGGGAAUCCGGAGAGGGAGGCACAUGGGCCUGUGUUUGGGUCCCCUCCCUCCCGAAACCUGCCAGAGCUGCUGCCUGCCCCGGCUCACAGCUCUGCUUCUGGGGUCCCCCCCAUCCCACCAUGGCGGCAGGGCAGCCGGCCUCACUCCUUGUAGUGUCUCUGAAGGAGCCUCGGGCGCACGGAGCAGGUGGGCCUUUCGUGUGUGUUUGAGAGACUCUUCCUAUGAGUAAACUUAUGUCAGAAAGCCCACUGUUGGUGGGUCCCUGGCUUUUUAAUGACAAUAUUGUCACCGCGCCUCCACCACCUGGCUGGCACCUGCCGUCCUGCCUCUCAGUGAAGUUGCUGGACUUUUAUAGACAUCUUGUGUUCUCAAUUAGCUCCUCAGCUUUUGAAACCAGGCCUGCUCCUCGCUGUGUCCCUUCUGUGCUGGGGGCUCAGUGUCAGCUUCACACGCCCAGCACGCCCACCCGGAUCGCACACCAGCUGGGCUCAGGCCCCCACCAGGGACAAGCUGUGGGGGGGUCCCCAUUCUCUCUAGCAGCCACCAGAGAGAAUCUCACUGAGACUCUAGCCCUUUGUGUUUCACUGCGAGUUUGUGUGCAUUUUCAGCAUGUAAUCCCUAACAAGGGUCGUGAGUUCUGCUUCUAAAACCUCAUAUUUCAAAAACCACAUGCAGCUAAAACCAUCUAUGUUCUUUCGCAUCGAUGACAAGUAAAAGCAGAAUAAAUUAAACUCAUCAAACAUUAUUUAUCAAUAUUUUCCAAGAUAAAUUCUUCCCGAGUGUGGGACACAGGCUUGGCACUACAGGAAACAGCUUCAGGGACACGUGCAGUAAGGCCUGUAUUUGACCAGUUAUUUGUUGUGAUUUGUGUCGGGAAAAGAAAAUACUGCAGGCCUAAGGCUGCACUAGGCUUUUAAGUUAAAAAGAAUCAAUUUAAGGAAAACUCCAAGGCAAUGAUGCUGUGUGUGGUAAGAAAAAAUGGCUGAAAUUUUGCGAAAAAAUAGUAAAGUUUGAGAAUUGCAAAGUGUGAAUAAAACAUGUCCCCAAACUGAA